Molecule: ribosomal RNA, 404 nt
Filed under: uncultured bacterium
Lineage: Bacteria
Description: bacterial SSU rRNA
Rfam family: Bacterial small subunit ribosomal RNA
Source: RNAcentral
UAGGGAAUAUUGCACAAUGGGCGAAAGCCUGAUGCAGCGACGCCGCGUGAGCGAAGAAGUUCUUCGGAACGUAAAGCUCUGUCCUUGGGGACGAAAAAAUGACGGUACCCAAGGAGGAAGCCCCGGCUAACUACGUGCCAGCAGCCGCGGUAAUACGUAGGGGGCGAGCGUUGUCCGGAUUUACUGGGCGUAAAGGGUGAGUAGGUGGUUAUACAAGUCAGAUGUGAAAUGCGGGAGCUUAACUUCCGAACGGCAUUGGAUACUGCUUUGCUAGAGCAAUGGAGGGGAAACCGGAAUUCUCGGUGUAGCAGUGAAAUGCGUAGAUAUCGAGAGGAACACUCGUGGCGAAGGCGGGUUUCUGGACAUUAGCUGACGCUGAGGUACGAAGGCCAGGGUAGCGAAAG